CUGAACCUGGGUCCUCUGAAGGAGCAGGAAGUGGUCUUAACUACAGAGGCAUCUCUCCACCCCCUGAGCAGAGCCCUUUUUUAUUUCAGUUAUUACACAAUCAUAUGAGUGAAAGAUGAAAAGAAUCUGACUGAGUGCAUAGCAGCACAACCGGAGAUGCUCCACGGCUCCUCUGAAAGAGGAGCGAUAGAUCAGAGCGCGACAGAGCCGGCGGAAGAAUACGAAACCAGUUACAUGAACUGUGAACUAUAUGUCAGUGUUCUAUUUGCCUUGAGACAGGGUGAACAUCAGCACAUUUCUCAUCAAGAC
RNAcentral lists this long non-coding RNA (309 nucleotides) under Cricetulus griseus (Chinese hamster). Its description in RNAcentral is "lncRNA (ENSCGRG00015039755.1)". The record is from RNAcentral. Lineage: Eukaryota; Metazoa; Chordata; Mammalia; Rodentia; Cricetidae.